GCUACACAAGCCAUCCCCUCUCUUUGCUUCUGUAAUUGUGACAUUUUUUCUGUUUAGAAGACAGUUAUAGCCUUACACCAAGUUGGCCUUCACACCAUACAUACAUAUAUAUAUACAC
Long non-coding RNA from Ipomoea nil (Japanese morning glory), 118 nucleotides. RefSeq lists it as uncharacterized. The record is from RefSeq and is a predicted model, not a curated record. Lineage: Eukaryota; Viridiplantae; Streptophyta; Magnoliopsida; Solanales; Convolvulaceae. The transcript has 3 exons.